RNAcentral lists this ribosomal RNA (445 nucleotides) under uncultured bacterium. RNAcentral describes it as "bacterial SSU rRNA". It matches the Rfam family "Bacterial small subunit ribosomal RNA", at positions 330 to 792 of the family's 1533-position model. The record is from RNAcentral.
GCCAGACUCCUACGGGAGGCAGCAGUGGGGAAUAUUGCACAAUGGGGGAAACCCUGAUGCAGCAACGCCGCGUGAGUGAAGAAGUCAUUCGUGAUGUAAAGCUCUAUCAGCAGGGAAGAAAAUGACGGUACCUGACUAAGAAGCCCCGGCUAACUACGUGCCAGCAGCCGCGGUAAUACGUAGGGGGCAAGCGUUAUCCGGAUUUACUGGGUGUAAAGGGAGCGUAGACGGCCAGACAAGUCAGAAGUGAAAGCCCAGGGCUCAACCCUGGGACUGCUUUUGAAACUGCCGGGCUGGAGUGCAGGAGAGGUAAGCGGAAUUCCUAGUGUAGCGGUGAAAUGCGUAGAUAUUAGGAGGAACAUCAGUGGCGAAGGCGGCCACCUGGACCGGUAUUGACGCUGAGGCGCGAAAGCGUGGGGAGCAAACAGGAUUAGAUACCCCUGUA